Molecule: unclassified non-coding RNA, 217 nt
Filed under: plant metagenome
Description: partial contains small subunit ribosomal RNA, internal transcribed spacer 1, and 5.8S ribosomal RNA
Rfam family: 5.8S ribosomal RNA (bases 169-217)
Source: RNAcentral
UCUCCGUUGGUGAACCAGCGGAGGGAUCAUUACCGAGUGCAAACUCAUAACCCUUUGUGAACCUAUAUCUGUUGCUUCGGCGGCUCGCUCUCGGGCGAGCCCGCCGGUAAUAUCAGUAUCUCUGUUUGAACCCGACGAUACUUCUGAGUGUUCUUAGCGAACAGUUAAAACUUUUAACAACGGAUCUCUUGGCUCUAGCAUCGAUGGAGAACGCAGC